This 380-nucleotide unclassified non-coding RNA is filed under the name uncultured bacterium. RNAcentral's name for it is "contains 16S-23S intergenic spacer region". The record is from RNAcentral.
UCCGGUUUAUCACCGGCAGUCUCCAUAGAGUUCUCGGCAUGACCCGUUAGUAACUAUGGACAAGGGUUGCGCUCGUUGCGGGACUUAACCCAACAUCUCACGACACGAGCUGACGACAGCCAUGCAGCACCUCUCCAGCGAUCCCCGAAGGGAGGGACUCAUCUCUGAGCCUUGCCACUGAAGUUCAAACCCAGGUAAGGUUCUUCGCGUUGCUUCGAAUUAAACCACAUACUCCACCGCUUGUGCGGGCCCCCGUCAAUUCCUUUGAGUUUCAGUCUUGCGACCGUACUCCCCAGGCGGCGAACUUAACGCGUUAGCUUCGACACUGAGCACCUAAGUGUGCCCAACAUCCAGUUCGCAUCGUUUAGGGCGUGGACUAC